GCGCCAGUAGCUCAGCUGGAUAGAGCGCUGCCCUCCGGAGGCAGAGGUCUCAGGUUCGAAUCCUGUCGGGCGCACCA
RNAcentral lists this transfer RNA (77 nucleotides) under Pseudomonas aeruginosa. Its description in RNAcentral is "tRNA-Arg". It matches the Rfam family "tRNA". Rfam says of the family: Transfer RNA (tRNA) molecules are approximately 80 nucleotides in length. Their secondary structure includes four short double-helical elements and three loops (D, anti-codon, and T loops). Lineage: Bacteria; Pseudomonadati; Pseudomonadota; Gammaproteobacteria; Pseudomonadales; Pseudomonadaceae. The record is from RNAcentral.